GUAAGUUUGGUGUGAAAUCUCCCGGCUUAACUGGGAGGGUGCGCCGAAGACUGCGAUGCUGGAGUAUGGGAGAGGAAAGCGGAAUUCCUGGUGUAGCGGUGAAAUGCGUAGAUAUCAGGAGGAACACCUGCGGUGUAGACGGCUUUCUGGACCAUUACUGACACUGAGACACGAAAGCGUGGGUAGCAAACAGGAUUAGAUACCCUGGUAGUCCACGCCCUAAACGAUGCAUACUUGGUGUGAGCCAUUCAGUUGGUUCGUGCCGGAGCUAACGCGUUAAGUAUGCCGCCUGGGGAGUACGGUCCCAAGGCUGAAACUCAAAGGAAUUGACGGGGGCCCGCACAAGCGGUGGAGCAUGUGGUUCAAUUCGACGCAACGCGAAGAACCUUACCUGGGCUCGAACGGCUUCUCAACGUUCGUGGAAACACGGAUAUCCCGCAAGGGAGUGGAGUCGAGGUGCUGCAUGGCUGUCGUCAGCUCGUGUCGUGAGAUGUUGGGUUAAGUCCCGCAACGAGCGCAACCCUUGCCCUGUUUUGCCAUCAUUAAGUUGGGAACUAUCAGGGGACCGCCAGCGAUAAGUUGGAGGAAGGUGGGGAUGACGUCAAGUCAUCAUGGCCUUUAUGUCCAGGGCUACACACGUGCUACAAUGGACGGUACAAAGCGCUGCGAAGCCGCGAGGUGGAGCUAAUCGCAAAAAACCGUUCUCAGUUCGGAUCGCAGGCUGCAACUCGCCUGCGUGAAGCUGGAAUCGCUAGUAAUGGCAGAUCAGCAUGCUGCCGUGAAUACGUUCCCGGGCCUUGUACACACCGCCCGUCACAUCACGAAAGUGGGUUGUACUAGAAGUCUGUCCGCUAACCCGCAAGGGAGGCGACGGCCCAGUUAUC
RNAcentral lists this ribosomal RNA (884 nucleotides) under uncultured bacterium. Its description in RNAcentral is "bacterial SSU rRNA". It matches the Rfam family "Bacterial small subunit ribosomal RNA", at positions 583 to 1466 of the family's 1533-position model. The record is from RNAcentral.